Molecule: ribosomal RNA, 253 nt
Filed under: uncultured bacterium
Lineage: Bacteria
Description: partial 16S ribosomal RNA
Rfam family: Bacterial small subunit ribosomal RNA
Source: RNAcentral
AACGGAGGGGGCUAGCGUUGUUCGGAAUUACUGGGCGUAAAGCGCGCGUAGGCGGACCUGCACGUCGGGUGUGAAAUCUCGGGGCUUAACUCCGAAACUGCAUUCGAUACUGCGGUGCUUGAGGACUGGAGAGGAGACUGGAAUUCAUGGUGUAGCAGUGAAAUGCGUAGAGAUCAUGAGGAAGACCAGUGGCGAAGGCGGGUCUCUGGACAGUUCCUGACACUGAGACACGAAGGCCAGGGGAGCAAACGGG